GGUUCCAUAGUAUAGCGGUCAGCACAUCUGCUUUACACUCAGAAGGUCCUGGGUUCGCGCCCCAGUGGAGCCA
RNAcentral lists this transfer RNA (73 nucleotides) under Pteropus alecto (black flying fox). It matches the Rfam family "tRNA". From Rfam's summary of the family: Transfer RNA (tRNA) molecules are approximately 80 nucleotides in length. The record is from Rfam by way of RNAcentral. Lineage: Eukaryota; Metazoa; Chordata; Mammalia; Chiroptera; Pteropodidae.